UGGGGAAUAUUGGACAAUGGGGGAAACCCUGAUCCAGCAAUGCCGCGUGAGUGAAGAAGGCCUUAGGGUUGUAAAGCUCUUUCGCCCGCGAAGAUAAUGACGGUAGCGGGAGAAGAAGCCCCGGCUAACUCCGUGCCAGCAGCCGCGGUAAUACGGAGGGGGCUAGCGUUGUUCGGAAUUACUGGGCGCAAAGCGUACGUAGGCGGAUGCGCAAGUUGAGGGUGAAAUCCCGGGGCUUAACCUCGGAAUUGCCCUCAAAACUGCACGUCUUGAGACCGAGAGAGGUAAGGGGAAUUCCUAGUGUAGAGGUGAAAUUCGUAGAUAUUAGGAAGAACACCAGUGGCGAAGGCGCCUUACUGGCUCGGUACUGACGCUGAGGUACGAAAGCGUGGGGAGCAAACA
This 402-nucleotide ribosomal RNA is filed under the name uncultured bacterium. Its description in RNAcentral is "bacterial SSU rRNA". It matches the Rfam family "Bacterial small subunit ribosomal RNA", at positions 355 to 774 of the family's 1533-position model. The record is from RNAcentral.